This 1190-nucleotide long non-coding RNA is filed under the name Astyanax mexicanus (Mexican tetra). Its description in RNAcentral is "lncRNA (ENSAMXG00005000101.1)". Lineage: Eukaryota; Metazoa; Chordata; Actinopteri; Characiformes; Acestrorhamphidae. The record is from RNAcentral.
AUGUCCAGGGCUGGGAUCCUGGAACGGGCUGGGAUGGAGUCAGAUGCUCGGGCAAGCUGGGAUGCUGGGAUGAGCUGGGAUGCUGGGGUAAGCUGGGAUGGCGGGGAGCCCAGGAAGCCCCAAGUUCUCCUGGAAACCAAUGUCCAACACUGUGACCAUCGGGACCUCAGGCUAGUGUCCAGUAUUGUGGCCCCUAGUGUUAGGACAUAUACCACCAAUUAGUCACCAUGACACUUUGGUAAGGUGGCCACACACCCCCAGGACCCACCCACAACCUAUGGGUGGACCCAGAACAUCAAUAAGAAAUUUAGUGGUGUUACAAAGAAGUAAAUGUUAGGGUAGUCAAAUGUGACGAAGUCAUAUAACCCUUGAUCAUAUGUCUAUGGGAAAUCAGCCACUUUCGUUGAACAGUCUCUAACCCUGUAUUCAAGACACGCUAGACACCUUAUCCACUGCCCACUGGUUUAGUACAUUAGACCUGGCUGCCGGGUAUUGGCAGGUAAAACUCAUUCCUAGGGCCUGUCAAGCCAUGGCCUUCUGCAGUAGGAAGAGCUUGUUCACAUGGUAUGUCAUGCCUUUCAGUUUAUGCAAUGCACCAGCCACGUUUAAGCAUUUAAUGGAUCAUGUUCUGGAUAGAGUUUAGAUUCUCUGGAUAGAUUUGAGAAUCUCAAGCCAAACUUGAUGCUUGAACCAAACUAGAUCCAGGCAGGGUUGGGCUGAGAUUUUCCACAACUUUCCUUGUUUUAACGCUACUUACCAAAAAAUGUUGGGUUUGGGUCAGGCAGAACAUGCACAGGCCGGUUGAGCUGGAUGUUUGGCCCGAUCUAAGCUUUAGUUAUGCCCGGCAUGCAGUGGAAGACCUGUCUUAUGUACUUAGAUGACAAUUCUGAGCAAAGAUGCUUCAGAUAUGCUGGAACACCUUGAACAGGUAUUCGAAAGACUCUGCCAAGCAAAAUCUCAAUCUAAAGCAAGCCAAAUGCUGUCUUUUUCAUGGACAGGUAGCAUACAUUUGACACAUUGUGUCUGAACAUGGCAUUUCCACUGACUCGCAAAAGAUCUUAAAAGUGCUGGAAUUGCCAAUGCCCCACAAUGUCUCAGAAGAUCGACAGUUUGUUGAUCUUGCUUUGUACUACAGAUGAUUUGUGAAAGACUUUGCUGCUGUGGCACAACCCGUUCAUUUGGCGCAAAAA